CCAAUAGCGUAUAUUAAAGUUGUUGCAGUUAAAAAGCUCGUAGUUGAAUUUCGGAAUCAAUAUAUCGGUCGUGCCUCUGGUACGCACUUAUUUAUUGAUUUCUCACUUCUGACGAAUCAUAAUGUCAUUAGUUUGGUGUUAUGAGGAAUCAGGACUGUUACUUUGAAAAAAUUAGAGGGUUUAAAGCAGGCUCGCGCUUGAAUACAUGAGCAUGGAAUAAUGAAAUAGGAUGUUUGAUCUUAUUUUGUUGGUUUCUAGGAUCGACAUAAUGAUUAAUAGGGAUAGUUGGGGGCAUUAGUAUUCAAUUGUCAGAGGUGAAAUUCUUGGAUUUAUUGAAGACUAACUACUGCGAAAGCAUUUGCCAAGGAUGUUUUCAUUAAUCAAGAACGAAAGUUAGGGGAUCGAAGACGAUCAGAUACCGUCGUAGUCUUAACCAUAAACUAUGCCGACUAGGGAUCGGAUGAUGUUAUUUUUUAAUGACUCAUUCGGCACCUUACG
This 498-nucleotide unclassified non-coding RNA is filed under the name uncultured Glomus. RNAcentral describes it as "SSU rRNA". It matches the Rfam family "Eukaryotic small subunit ribosomal RNA", at positions 591 to 1092 of the family's 1831-position model. The record is from RNAcentral. Lineage: Eukaryota; Fungi; Glomeromycota; Glomeromycetes; Glomerales; Glomeraceae.